Molecule: ribosomal RNA, 1248 nt
Filed under: metagenome
Description: bacterial LSU rRNA
Rfam family: Bacterial large subunit ribosomal RNA
Source: RNAcentral
UGAGUACGAGAUGCUACGGCAUCGAAGCAGUCUAUGUCAUACUUCCAAGAAAAGCUUGCAAUGUCAUAAACAAAUAAUGCCUGUACCAUAACCGACACAGGUGGGUAGGUAGAGUAUACUAAGGGGCGCGAGAUAACUCUCUCUAAGGAACUCGGCAAAAUGACUCCGUAACUUCGGGAGAAGGAGUGCCUUAUUUUUAUAAGGUUGCAAUAACAAGAUCCAAGCAACUGUUUACCAAAAACACAGGUCUCCGCUAAGUCGUAAGACGAUGUAUGGGGGCUGACGCCUGCCCAGUGCCAGAAGGUUAAAGAAGUUGGUUAGCAUUAGCGAAGCUGAUAACUGAAGCCCUGGUGAACGGCGGCCGUAACGAUAACGGUCCUAAGGUAGCGAAAUUCCUUGUCGGGUAAGUUCCGACCCGCACGAAAGGCGUAAUGAUUUGGAUACUGUCUCGGAGAGGGGCUCGGUGAAAUAGACUUGUCUGUGAAGAUGCGGACUACCUGCACCUGGACAGAAAGACCCUAUGAAGCUUUACUGUAACUUGAGAUUGAAAUUGGACUUUAUCUGCGCAGUAUAGGUGGGAGACGUUGAAAAUAUUCUUGCGGGAAUAUUGGAGUCAUCAGUGAGAUACCACUCUUAUAAUGUUAGAUUUCUAACUUUGUAUCAUUAUCUGGUCAAAGAACAGUUUCGGGCGGGCAGUUUGACUGGGGCGGUCGCCUCCCAAACGGUAACGGAGGCGCACAAAGGUUUCCUCUGAACGUGUAGAAAUCGUAUCUAGAGUGUAAAGGCAUAAGGAAGCUUGACUGUGAGACCUACAAGUCGAGCAGGGACGAAAGUCGGGCUUAGUGAUCUGACGGUGCUGAGUGGAAAGGCCGUCACUCAACGGAUAAAAGUUACUCUAGGAUAACAGGCUGAUCUCCCCCAAGGGUUCACAUCGACGGGGAGGUUUGGCACCUCGAUGUCGGCUCAUCGCAUCCUGGGGCGGUAGUACGUCCCAAGGGUUGGGCUGUUCGCCCAUGAAAGCGGUACGCGAGCUGGGUUCAGAACGUCGUGAGACAGUUCGGUCCAUAUCCGGUGUAGGCGUUAGAAUAUUGAGAGGAGCCUUCUUUAGUACGAGAGGACCGAGAAGGACAUACCUCUGGUGUACCAGUUAUCGUGCCAACGGUAAACGCUGGGUAGCCAUGUAUGGAGAGGAUAACCGCUGAAAGCAUCUAAGUGGGAAGCCCACCUCAAGAUAAGUAUUCUCAUCAU